RNAcentral lists this transfer RNA (78 nucleotides) under Candidatus Methanomethylicus mesodigestus. Its description in RNAcentral is "tRNA-Met". It matches the Rfam family "tRNA". Rfam says of the family: Transfer RNA (tRNA) molecules are approximately 80 nucleotides in length. Their secondary structure includes four short double-helical elements and three loops (D, anti-codon, and T loops). Further hydrogen bonds mediate the characteristic L-shaped molecular structure. tRNAs have two regions of fundamental functional importance: the anti-codon, which is responsible for specific mRNA codon recognition, and the 3' end, to which the tRNAs corresponding amino acid is attached (by aminoacyl-tRNA synthetases). tRNAs cope with the degeneracy of the genetic code in two manners: having more than one tRNA (with a specific anti-codon) for a particular amino acid; and 'wobble' base-pairing, i.e. permitting non-standard base-pairing at the 3rd anti-codon position. Lineage: Archaea; Thermoproteati; Thermoproteota; Methanosuratincolia; Candidatus Methanomethylicales; Candidatus Methanomethylicaceae. The record is from RNAcentral. RNAcentral also lists the same sequence under 1 other name.
AGCGGGGUAGGGUAGCCAGGUUAUCCCGCGGGGCUCAUAACCCCGAGAUCGGUGGUUCAAAUCCACCCCCCGCUACCA